GCCAGCAUGGCAUAGUGGUUUACGUUUUGGAUUAGAACUCUAGAGUUCAGGGUUCAAUUCCCCGCUCAGCCA
Molecule: non-coding RNA, 72 nt
Organism: Phrynosoma platyrhinos (Desert horned lizard)
Lineage: Eukaryota; Metazoa; Chordata; Lepidosauria; Squamata; Phrynosomatidae
Source: the annotation of a GenBank genome assembly